Triticum aestivum (bread wheat) is the source of this 115-nucleotide non-coding RNA. NCBI's taxonomy places the organism in Eukaryota, Viridiplantae, Streptophyta, Magnoliopsida, Poales, Poaceae. The record is from Rfam.
AAUAUACUUCCUCAGUUCCAAAUUACUCGUCGUAGAAAUGAAUGUAUUUAGAACUAAAAUACAUCUAGAUACAUCCAUACCUGCGACAAGUAAUUCGGAACGGAGGGAGUAUAUC